RNAcentral lists this ribosomal RNA (948 nucleotides) under uncultured prokaryote. RNAcentral describes it as "bacterial SSU rRNA". It matches the Rfam family "Bacterial small subunit ribosomal RNA", at positions 44 to 983 of the family's 1533-position model. The record is from RNAcentral.
AUGCUUAACACAUGCAAGUCGAACGGUAACAUGGGGAGCUUGCUCCCUGAUGACGAGUGGCGGACGGGUGAGUAACGCGUAGGAAUCUGCCCAGCCGUGGGGGACAACUCGAGGAAACUCGAGCUAAUACCGCAUACGCCCUACGGGGGAAAGCAGGGGAUCUUCGGACCUCGCGCGAUUGGAUGAGCCUGCGUUGGAUUAGCUAGUUGGUGGGGUAAAGGCCUACCAAGGCGACGAUCCAUAGCUGGUCUGAGAGGACGAUCAGCCACACUGGGACUGAGACACGGCCCAGACUCCUACGGGAGGCAGCAGUGGGGAAUAUUGGACAAUGGGCGAAAGCCUGAUCCAGCAAUGCCGCGUGUGUGAAGAAGGCCUGCGGGUUGUAAAGCACUUUCAGUCGGGAGGAAGAGAGGGUCGUUAAUAGCGACUCAGGAUGACGUAACCGACAGAAGAAGCACCGGCUAACUCCGUGCCAGCAGCCGCGGUAAUACGGAGGGUGCGAGCGUUAAUCGGAAUUACUGGGCGUAAAGGGCGCGUAGGCGGCGUGAUCAGUCAGAUGUGAAAGCCCUGGGCUUAACCUGGGAAUUGCAUUUGAUACUGUCAUGCUCGAGUUUGGUAGAGGGGAGUGGAAUUUCCGGUGUAGCGGUGAAAUGCGUAGAGAUCGGAAGGAACACCAGUGGCGAAGGCGACUCCCUGGACCAAAACUGACGCUGAGGUGCGAAAGCGUGGGUAGCAAACAGGAUUAGAUACCCUGGUAGUCCACGCUGUAAACGAUGAGAACUAGCCGUUGGACGCAUUACGCGUUUAGUGGCGCAGCUAACGCAUUAAGUUCUCCGCCUGGGGAGUACGGCCGCAAGGCUAAAACUCAAAUGAAUUGACGGGGGCCCGCACAAGCGGUGGAGCAUGUGGUUUAAUUCGAUGCAACGCGAAGAACCUUACCUGCCCUUG